GCUAUUUCUUCCCUUCUCCCACUUAGAUUCUGAAAAACGCAACGCAACAGAUCCCAUUACCACAAGUAAUUAGAUCCGCCUGGACCCUGCCAGAAUCCUAGCGCCAAAUAACGGUCAACAAUUUCUGAAAUUUCAAAAAAAAAAAAAAAAAAAGCUGCUAACUAAUUCACUUUUUAAUUUGCUUCACAAAUUGAAUUCCCCUUCCCAGCAAACAAUUGAUGGAGCCUCUGUGCUCAAAUUUCGAUCUCUCUCCGAUCUCAACGGCGCCUUCGAAACCUGCUUUGCUGCCUCUCUUCUCUUCUCCUCGGAUUUCUACCUCGAUUAGGCUUAAUGUAUCCAGAAAAUGGAGCCACUACUGUGCUUCCUCUCAUCACACCGCUAAGACGACGGUGUCCAGACCCCAAUCCAAUGCUCCAGAUUUCAUCAGAUCCGUCGGAAAAGGUUUUAUUGGUUUUGCCGCCGCCGCUGCAGCUCUAGCCUCGCUUUGUUGCGACUCUCCCGCGUUUGCUGAGUCUUUAACGGUCGCUUUUCCUGUUUCCCGAGCUCGGGAGGUGAAUACAGUUCAAAGAACGCUUGUGGAGGCUUGGGGUUUGAUUAGAGAAACAUUUGUGGACCCAACUUUUAACCAUCAAGAUUGGGAUUUAAAAUUGCAGCAAACUAUGGUGGAAAUGUUUCCUUUGAAUUCAGCAGAUGCUGCGUAUACAAAAAUCAAAGGAAUGCUUUCUACUCUUGGGGAUCCUUUUACUCGGAUUAUAAGUCCAAAGGAGUACCAGAGUUUUAGAAUUGGAAAUGA
Molecule: unclassified non-coding RNA, 793 nt
Filed under: Hevea brasiliensis (rubber tree)
Lineage: Eukaryota; Viridiplantae; Streptophyta; Magnoliopsida; Malpighiales; Euphorbiaceae
Source: RNAcentral